RNAcentral lists this long non-coding RNA (287 nucleotides) under Lathyrus oleraceus (garden pea). Its description in RNAcentral is "Pisum sativum (pea) long non-coding RNA (PSAT_LNC025838)". The record is from RNAcentral. Lineage: Eukaryota; Viridiplantae; Streptophyta; Magnoliopsida; Fabales; Fabaceae.
UGCAACUUCACACGCUUUCACAAUGACCCUGCACCCCUUCCAGUAUAACUUAUAGAAAACCACAUAAAAUCAUUUCAAAUAUAUUAUAAUUGAUUGGUCUAGUCAUGGAUAGGGCAUCGAAGCUUUAUCUGGGUGAUCAAAGUCAGCCACUCAUGCUAGUCAUUAUCACCUAAAUAACAUAAACAUAAAAAUGAAUUAACUGAAAUAAAUCUGAUAUAAUGUUCAAAAUAGAAUUUUUGGGAACUAUAUCAUAACCAAAAUAACCAAAAAUGAAAAGACACCAAAAU